Molecule: ribosomal RNA, 492 nt
Filed under: uncultured bacterium
Lineage: Bacteria
Description: partial 16S ribosomal RNA
Rfam family: Bacterial small subunit ribosomal RNA
Source: RNAcentral
AGUGAACGCUGGCGGUAGGCCUAACACAUGCAAGUCGAACGGCAGCACAGUAAGAGCUUGCUCUUACGGGUGGCGAGUGGCGGACGGGUGAGGAAUACAUCGGAAUCUACUUUUUCGUGGGGGAUAACGUAGGGAAACUUACGCUAAUACCGCAUACGACCUACGGGUGAAAGCAGGGGAUCUUCGGACCUUGCGCGAUUGAAUUAGCCGAUGUCGGAUUAGCUAGUUGGCGGGGUAAAGGCCCACCAAGGCGACGAUCCGUAGCUGGUCUGAGAGGAUGAUCAGCCACACUGGAACUGAGACACGGUACAGACUCCUACGGGAGGAAGCAGUGGGGAAUAUUGGACAAUGGGCGCAAGCCUGAUCCAGCCAUACCGCGUGGGUGAAGAAGGACUUCGGGUUGUAAAGCCCUUUUGUUGGGAAAGAAAAGCAGCAGGUUAAUACCCCGCUGUUCUGACGGUACCCAAAGAAUAAGCACCGGCUAACUUCGUG